Canis lupus familiaris (dog) is the source of this 479-nucleotide long non-coding RNA. RefSeq lists it as uncharacterized. The record is from RefSeq and is a predicted model, not a curated record. NCBI's taxonomy places the organism in Eukaryota, Metazoa, Chordata, Mammalia, Carnivora, Canidae. The transcript is spliced from 2 exons.
CAGCAUUUGUGAACUGGACAAUUCACAGAGGAUGAGGUGGAGGUGUUACAAGGUGGGGGGCCCCCGGCAAGUGGCUAAAACUGCCCCAAAAAGAAAUGAACACAGCAACAGAAACAAGGGAGACCAGGGCCGUGCCAUUCCUGAGCUCAGAACUCCAGCGACCCCUGAGAACCCGACCUGGGAUACCUGAUGCAUUGUCCUGAGCCUUGCUAUAGGGCAAAAUCUUCUGGUGCGGUCCAGGAGAUCAUCAGCUCUCGGCAGAAGGGGCCAAAUACGAUGAAGAGUAAUCAGGUGAUGAGGAGAAUGGAGAGCUUGUCACCUGAGGAAUGGCCAGCCAAGGGACUCAGCACGCUGAGCCCAGACCAGAGAAGGCUCAGGGAAGAUGUGAGAGCUUCCACUGGGUCAUGCUUAAGCUCCAUGCACAGGACCAAAUGGUGAAAGAUGCAGGGAAUACUAUUUCAGUUUGGGUUUAAAAAGUA